AUUGAACGCUGGCGGCGUGCUUAACACAUGCAAGUCGAGCGGCAGCGCGGGAGCAAUCCUGGCGGCGAGCGGCGAACGGGUGAGUAAUGCUUCGGAAUCUGCUCUUCAGUGGGGGAAUAACCAGUCGAAAGACUGGCUAAUACCGCAUACGAACUGAGGUUGAAAGCAGGGGGAUCGCAAGACCUUGCGCUGAUGGAUGAGCCGAAGUCGGAUUAGCUUGUUGGUGGGGUAAUGGCCUACCAAGGCGACGAUCCGUAGCUGGUCUGAGAGGACGACCAGCCACACUGGGACUGAGACACGGCCCAGACUCCUACGGGAGGCAGCAGUGGGGAAUAUUGGACAAUGGGGGCGAACCCCUCGAUCCAGCGACGCCG
RNAcentral lists this ribosomal RNA (374 nucleotides) under uncultured bacterium. RNAcentral describes it as "bacterial SSU rRNA". It matches the Rfam family "Bacterial small subunit ribosomal RNA", at positions 29 to 399 of the family's 1533-position model. The record is from RNAcentral.